Molecule: small nucleolar RNA, 132 nt
Organism: Meriones unguiculatus (Mongolian gerbil)
Lineage: Eukaryota; Metazoa; Chordata; Mammalia; Rodentia; Muridae
Source: Ensembl
CCUGCCUCUGGAAGUCUUGCAGGUGUGGCUGCUGUGUCACACGUGUAUCAGUAAGUCCCAGAGAGGUGAGAGAGUAUGUCCACUGUCAGUAUUCUGACCUGUGAACAUUUGAAUCAUUAGUACCUUAGCAUU